UCCAGACUCCUACGGGAGGCAGCAGUGGGGAAUAUUGCGCAAUGGACGAAAGUCUGACGCAGCGACGCCGCGUGCGGGAUGAAGGUUUUCGGAUCGUAAACCUCUUUCAGGAGGGCCGACCGCGCAUGGCGCCACUCAGCCAUGCGUUGACGGUACCUCCCCCGGAAGCGCCGGCUCACUCCGUGCCCGCCGCCGCGGUCCUCCGGAGGGCGCGCGCGUUAAUCGGAAUUACUGGGCGUAAAGCGCGCGUAGGCUGUUGUGGAAGUGGGGGGUGAAAUCCCACGGCUCAACCGGGGAACAGCCCUUGAUACUGCGCGACUUGAAUCCGGGAGAGGGUGGCGGAAUUCCAGGUGUAGGAGUGAAAUCCGUAGAUAUCUGGAGGAACAUCAGUGGCGAAGGCGGCCACCUGGACCGGUAUUGACGCUGAGGCGCGAAAGCGUGGGGAGCAAACAGGAUUAGAUACCCGGGUACA
Molecule: ribosomal RNA, 472 nt
Filed under: uncultured bacterium
Lineage: Bacteria
Description: bacterial SSU rRNA
Rfam family: Bacterial small subunit ribosomal RNA
Source: RNAcentral